This is a long non-coding RNA of Carassius auratus (goldfish), 2290 nucleotides long. RefSeq lists it as uncharacterized. NCBI's taxonomy places the organism in Eukaryota, Metazoa, Chordata, Actinopteri, Cypriniformes, Cyprinidae. The record is from RefSeq and is a predicted model, not a curated record. The transcript has 4 exons.
ACUAAAACAAUACACUUACAGUCUACUUAAUACAUUUAUGUUUAAGAUGGAAACAUAAUUUUAUUGUUUAAAUUCUAAAUGAAAUUCAACAUAAUCAUCAAAACAUGAUAUAAUCACUUUGCAAGAAAAUGUUCAAAUUGUUUCAGAUUUCAAACAAAUUGUGUUCAUGUAAAAUGAUUUUUUUCUGCUGUUUGAUUUAUUUAAUUAAAAUAAGCCCAUGUCACACAAUUACUUUGUAUUUUCUUCUCAACUUAAUUCCAUUGUGUAGGCUAUAAUUAAUCUAAUUCAGGUUUGUGAAAUAGUCGUUUGCGCGGGAGCAACGUGCGCGAGAGCGUCUGCGCAUGGGAUUUGAAAUCCAGACCACACCAGGACCGUUGGUUUGGAAAGGACACAUGAGGGGACUGACUGUAUUGUUUUCAAAGCUCGUUAAAAGUGACAUUUGGAAUUCCAAAGCCUGUUAAGACAAAUUACGAGCUAAGUCAGUCCCCAACAAAGCCUUGUAGAAGUCGGUGAAUUAACUGAUGAAUACCUCUUGGCUGACUAUUUGACUGGACAUGUGCAGAUGGUAACGUUAAAGAGAUUUGUCUGCUGCAAAGGAUGACAUUGAUGCAGCUUGUGAACUUGCCAUCAGAGGACUGGUUAUCUAUCUUAAUGAGGACCCUAAAGAGCUCAUUCAGGAGUAUGUGGACAUGGAAGAAGAUCCAGUUUAUUUUACAGUAUGCGAUUGAGAAGACUACCAUGGGCAUCUUCCUGAUAAAGCACACUGCAGACAAUGAAGCCCAUGAUGUAGGCAUUGUGCUAGAGGGUGUAGCAGUGCUUCAGGACCUCAACAGUGUGGAUUUUGCAACUUCAAUGUUGUUUGGUCUAAUUUAUGCUCUUAACCUGCAGUACCCCACAAAGUUGCGUUUUACAUAUGAAAUUUACCAAAAACUCUUCAUAGACUUGGAUGCAGGUGAACUCUCUAUCAAGGCCCAAUUUCAAAUCUGAACUCAACCAGUGAGAUGGACUGAUUUUUGAAUGACUUCUGUGACUACAAACAAUCAACCUCUGAAAAUUUCAGCAGCCUUCAUGCAAGACCACCGCAGAGGGUAAACUGUGAUCUUGUUGUUUAGACUGUUCCCCUUUGCCUGCUCUUGUUUCUUUAUCUUUUUUUUUGUCUGAAUUUGGCCCUUCUUUGGACUGGGUCAGAAGUUGAUUGAUUAGAGAGCUGAAUCUAUGAAACAUGGUUGAACUAGCAUAAAUAAGAUACAUUGUUUAUAGUUUAGGUAAGGGUCAGAUACUGUAUUUUCACAUUAUUUUGUAAUGUCUAUAUAUAAUUAUCUUUGAGACGAAAGCGUUUUUCUUGAAAUAAGUUCCAGGUAGGGCUGCACGAUAUUGGGAAAAAAUAACAUUGCGAUAUUUUAUUUUUCUGCGAUAUAUAUUGCAAUAUGAAAUCUAAUCUAAUUUUUUCUUACAAACAAAAAUUGGGUGAGCACACUUACGUUCUUAUUUUAAAUGAUUAAAACCUCGACACCAUCGUGUCAAUUGAUUAAUAUGUGCGAGGGAGAGAGAACAAGACAUUGCCCAUGGUGUUUGAAGACGAUGAGCGUGCGGCCGGGGCUCUCUCUCUCUCUCGUGCAUGCUCUCUCUCUCUCUCCUCUCUCUCUCUCAUGCAUGCUCUCUCUCUCUCUCUCUCGUGCAAGCGCUCUCUCUCUCUCUCUCUCUCUCUCGUGCUCUCUCUGUCUCUCUCUGCCCUGUUAAACUGACAGGACUUAAAAACAUGUAAAUGAUAAACUUUUACUCUAUGAUGGUUUAGCUGUACAAUUAAUCGGCUAAUCACAUUCAUCAAAAGACGGGGAGCAGCUGCCCGUACAGUUAAUGAAUAACGAAUCAACUACGACAGCCUACAUCACACAUCCUGCGAUGUGACUAUCGUGGAUUCAUACAUCGCGAUAUCGAUGCUUAAACGACACAUCGUGCAGCCCUAGUUACAGGUACUGGUGUUCUUGUGUACAGUUUUAAGGUUUCUGAGAGAAAUGAAAUAAAUUAGUGUUACAAUGUUGUAUUAGUUUUUAAACACACGGUUACAUGCAGUAUAAUGUUACUUAUGUUUAUGAUAUUGUUUAAAAAAAAAAGAAAUCUUGUAAAACUUUUGAAGGUUUAAAUAUAUUGUUGAUCUACAUGUUAUGCAUACAAAAUGAACCGUCUUUGUUUUUAUACUAGUCUAAUUAAAACUGAUGUAUUUUUAUUAAAUUUAAUCAUCAGAGAAGUUAUUUAUGCUAUGCUUUUGAAAGCACAAUGUUAUUUAGAC